RNAcentral lists this ribosomal RNA (511 nucleotides) under Cacopsylla qianli. RNAcentral describes it as "partial 16S rRNA". It matches the Rfam family "Bacterial large subunit ribosomal RNA", at positions 1798 to 2619 of the family's 2925-position model. Lineage: Eukaryota; Metazoa; Arthropoda; Insecta; Hemiptera; Psyllidae. The record is from RNAcentral.
GCCUGUUUAUCAAAAACAUUUCUGAGGGGAAAAUGUUUUUGGUUUAACCUGCUCAAUGCUUAAGUAAAUAGCUGCAGUAUUUUGACUGUACAAAGGUAGCAUAAUCAUUAGUCUUUUGAUUGGAGGCUUGUAUGAAUGGUUGAACAGAAUAUUAACUUUUUUAGUUACAUGAAUUUUUAAUUUAUAGUUUAUGUAAAAAUGCAUAAUUAUUUAAAAGGGACGAUAAGACCCUAUAGAAUUUAAGAAUAAUUUUGAAAAUUAUUUAUUUUUUUGUUGGGGUGACAGUAAAUAAACUUUUACGUUCUAUUCAUUGAUAAAUGGUUGGUUGAUCCUAAAUUUUUAGAGAAGAAGAUAAAGUUACCUUAGGGAUAACAGCAUAAUUUUUUUUAAAAGAUCUUAUUAAUAAAAAAGAUUAUGACCUCGAUGUUGAAUUAAAAUAAAAUUUAGGUGUAGAAGCUUAAUUUUUUAGUCUGUUCGACUUUAAAUUUUACAUGAUCUGAGUUCAGACCGG